AUGAGAUCCAAUGGCUCAGAUAUAUUUGCUUCUAACAAAGUCCAACAUCAUAUAACAAAAUUUCACACGCACAAGCAAGAGAUUUGCCCUCUCUCUCAACUUUCACCAUCUUUCCACCCUUCUCCUCCUCCGAACCUCCAUCUCCAAUCCAUUAUCACACACCUUCAACCAACACCUCCUUCAUUCUCCAAAAAACUCACCAUUGAAUCAUGA
Vicia faba (fava bean) is the source of this 213-nucleotide non-coding RNA. The record is from the annotation of a GenBank genome assembly. Lineage: Eukaryota; Viridiplantae; Streptophyta; Magnoliopsida; Fabales; Fabaceae.